Molecule: RNA transcript, 2449 nt
Organism: Sorghum bicolor (sorghum)
Lineage: Eukaryota; Viridiplantae; Streptophyta; Magnoliopsida; Poales; Poaceae
Gene name: casein kinase II subunit alpha
Exons: 7
Source: RefSeq, a predicted model, not a curated record
CACGGGCCAACGGCCGAGGGAGCCCGUGCGUGCCGCGCGCUCGCUCAAAGGCCUCCUCCGUGCACCGUGCGGCAGCGAGCCCUGCGACUGCGACGCCCCCUAAUUCCCCAGCACGCCCGCGCCGCGGUUUCAUGGCCUGGUGUGCCCUGCGCAGCCGCGUCCUUCCGCUCCCGGCCUCCGCCGCCACCGCCGCGCCCCACGGCCUGCUCCUACGCUUCUUCCUCUCCACCGCGGCCCCGCGCCACGCGCACCACCACCGGCGCCGCCGCCUCGCCCCCACGGCCUACGCCGCCGCCGCGGCAGCUGCGGCUGAGGCGCCGCUCCCCAUGACGCCGCGCUUCGGCCGGGCCACGCGGCACCCCGGGGCCGUCGCCUCCGUGGCGCGCGUCUACGCCGACGCCAACGCCCAGCGGCCCAAGGAGUACUGGGACUACGAGUCGCUUGACAUCCAGUGGGGGGAGCAGGAUGGGUACGAGGUGCUGAGGAAAGUGGGAAAGGGGAAGUACAGCGAGGUGUUCGAAGGCUACCGGGCUGGGAGCGACGAGAGAUGCGUCAUUAAGAUCCUCAAGCCUGUGAAGAAGAAGAAGAUAAAGAGGGAAAUAAAGAUACUUCAGAACUUAUAUGGAGGGCCUAACAUUGUAAAGCUACUUGAUGUUGUCAGAGAUGAUGAAUCAAAGACGCCUAGUUUGAUCUUUGAACAUGUCAACAACACUGACUUCAAAGUGCUCUACCCUGUGUUAUCUGAUUAUGAUAUCAGAUAUUAUAUUUUUGAAUUAUUAAAGGCACUAGAUUAUUGUCAUUCACGAGGUAUAAUGCACCGAGAUGUCAAACCCCACAAUGUCAUGAUUGACCAUGAAAAACGCCAGCUUCGUCUUAUUGAUUGGGGUCUUGCAGAGUUCUAUCAUCCCAAGAUGGAAUAUAAUGCUAGAGUUGCUUCAAGAUGCUACAAGGGUCCUGAACUACUUGUGGAUUUGUUAGAUUAUGAUUACUCAUUGGAUUUGUGGAGCCUUGGUUGCAUGUUCGCAGCAAUGAUAUUCCGAGUGGACCCUUUCUUUAGUGGCCAGGAUAAUUAUGAUCAAUUAGUGAAAAUAGCUGAGGUAAGUUUGAAGCUGCUCUGUGUUGAAAUGUCUUGUCAUCGUGUUUUUCUGUAUCACUUAAUCUAGUGCUUUAAAUGGACUGAGUUCACUUGAUUAUGUAUUCAGUUGUUGCAUUAAUUAAUUUAAUUAAUCUAUUUAAACAGCUCAAAUUAAUUGGUUCAUGUGACAUUAUUGUUUGCAUCUGCUAUGUCAGCUCUAGAGUCAUCCUAGAGUUGUUAAUGGCAAGUUCAUAUGUUAUUUUGACAUCUUUUAUUUGGACCUUAAUAGCAUACUGUCAUAGCCUUGGUUGUACCGAAAGUUGACUGAAUGUAAACUUUCUAAAACUAGCUUAUUGUGUAUUGUUGAUUUAUGGAUACUGACAUAUCAGUGGCAUGCAUCACCCUGUAUAUUUACUGCAAAGUUUAUAUAUUUUUAAACUAUUAAGUGUAUUCUACUGGUCCAAUUUUCAUUGGUGAUGGCUAGAGUAUUACAAAAAAUGUCUAGAUGUUGCUGUAUCUUCUAUGUACUACCUUUGUGUUCAUUGCCAUUAUUGCAUCAUCUCCUUGUGUUACUUUUGAGUUCAUUGUGAUUGGCUACCAUAUCUUGUAUAUGUGGUGCACCACAGUUGCAGUUGUGAUAUUGAAUACACCCUAAAGAUCCUAAACCAAGCUUGUCAAUUCCAUUCCUGUUUAGCAUUUGGAAUGAUAUGUUCCGGUACCGGUGCAUUCCGGCGUACCAUUCUGGAUUUUAUUAUUUUAUAGAUAUUCAAUAUUGUAUAUGGACUACAUAAGUAGCUAAAAAAACUGAUAAGAACAUAUAAAUAAAAGAAACAGAUGACAGGUUAGUUGCAUGUUGAGCUGAUCUAACUCUAACAUAUGAUGGGCCUGUGCUCUAACCCAAUUCAGCAAACCUUCCAACUGAAUUCCUAAAGCCAUGGAGUAGGGAAUAGCAUGCUAGGUGUAUAAUCACUGAGAAAAAUCAAGUCAAAGGAGAGUAUGCUACUAUGAAAUCAGGUGAAGGAAGAGCAUUCUGCAUGCUACUGUCAGGUGAGGGAAAGAGCAUACUACUUUCUUGUCUCUGUAUUCCAGCACUUGUCACAGUGUAAGCUAGGAGACCUGCGUACCAGCGCUUGGCCUGGGCACCCGUGUGAGCGUGCUGGCAGGGAGCGUGACUGACCGGUACUGGCUUGAGUGGAACAUCAGUUCCGCCUGGAAUGGCCGAAAAGAACCGAGAUGGCUGGUAUUUUUAAUGGUACCGGAUGGGAGUGGCUGUGUACCAGCUGACGCAACGGUUCUUGGCACAGGAGAUUUGUAUAACUACCUUGAAAAAUAUGGCCUCCAGCUUGACCCACAGCUUGAAAGACUUGUUGGAAG